UACGAGGGGUGCAAGCGUUGCUCGGAAUUAUUGGGCGUAAAGGGCAGGUAGGUGGUCUCAUUUGUCAGGGGUGAAAGCCUUGGGCUUAACCCAAGAAGUGCCUUUGAAACGGUGAGACUGGAGUCUUGGAGAGGGUCGUGGAAUUCCCAGUGUAGCGGUGAAAUGCGUAGAGAUUGGGAGGAACACCAGCGGCGAAGGCGGCGACCUGGACAAGCACUGACACUCAACUGCGAAAGCGUGGGUAGCAAACAGG
This 253-nucleotide ribosomal RNA is filed under the name uncultured bacterium. Its description in RNAcentral is "partial 16S ribosomal RNA". It matches the Rfam family "Bacterial small subunit ribosomal RNA", at positions 524 to 776 of the family's 1533-position model. The record is from RNAcentral.